This 1562-nucleotide ribosomal RNA is filed under the name human metagenome. Its description in RNAcentral is "bacterial LSU rRNA". It matches the Rfam family "Bacterial large subunit ribosomal RNA", at positions 487 to 2070 of the family's 2925-position model. The record is from RNAcentral.
AUAGCGUAUAGUACCGUGAGGGAAAGGUGAAAAGAACCCCGGGAGGGGAGUGAAAGAGAACCUGAAACCCUGCACUUACAAGCUGUAGGAGCACAUUAUUUGUGUGACUGCGUACUUUUUGUAGAACGGGCCAACGAGUUACGUUGUGUAGCAAGGUUAAGCACUUAAGGUGUGGAGCCGUAGCGAAAGCGAGUCUUAAAUGGGCGUCCAGUUACCCGACGUAGACCCGAAACCAGGCGACCUAUCCAUGAGCAGGUUGAAGCGAAAGUAAAAUUUCGUGGAGGACCGAACCCACGUACGUUGAAAAGUGCGGGGAUGACUUGUGGAUAGCGGUGAAAUUCCAAUCGAGCCUGGAGAUAGCUGGUUCUCCCCGAAAUAGCUUUAGGGCUAGCCUCAAGCUUAGAGAAACGGAGGUAGAGCACUGAAUGUCCUAGGGGGUAUUGCACUUACCGAAGACUAUCAAACUCCGAAUGCCGUAUUCUUUUGCUUGGGAGUCAGACUAUGGGUGAUAAGAUUCAUAGUCAAGAGGGCAACAGCCCAGAUCGUCAGCUAAGGUCCCUAAAUGUAAGUUAAGUGGUAAAGGAUGUGGAAUUGCACAGACAACCAGGAUGUUGGCUUAGAAGCAGCCACUCAUUUAAAGAGUGCGUAAUAGCUCACUGGUCGAGUGAUUCUGCGCCGAAAAUUUCCGGGGCUAAAACUUACUACCGAAGCUACGGCAUCAUUAUGAUGGGUAGGGGAGCUUUCUAUGUGGCUUGAAGCAUGACCGUAAGGACAUGUGGACUGCAUAGAAGUGAGAAUGUUGGCAUGAGUAGCGAGAUGUGGGUGAGAAUCCCACAGGCCGUAAACCCAAGGUUUCCAGGGGAAGGUUCGUCCGCCCUGGGUUAGUCAGGACCUAAGCCGAGGCCGAAAGGCGUAGGUGAUGGACAACAGGUUGAUAUUCCUGUACCACCAAUAACCGUUUGAGAAAUGGGAUGACACAGUAGGAUAAGCUAACCGCACUGUUGGUUAUGUGCGGGCAAGUAUUGAGGCAGUUCCGAUAGGCAAAUCCGUCGGAAUAAUGCUGGGGUACGAUGCGGAGCGAAAUUUAGUAGCGAAGUAGCUGAUUUCACACUGUCGAGAAAAGUCUCUAUCGAGGUUAAAGGUGCCUGUACCGCAAACCGACACAGGUGGGUGAGGAGAGUAUCCUAAGGCCAGCGAGAGAACUGUUGUUAAGGAACUCGGCAAAAUGACCCCGUAACUUAGGGAGAAGGGGUGCCUUCGAAAGAAGGCCGCAGAGAAUAGGCCCAAGCGACUGUUUACCAAAAACAUAGGUUUCUGCUAAGUCGCAAGACGAUGUAUAGGAGCUGACGCCUGCCCGGUGCUGGAAGGUUAAGGGGAUCUGUUAGAGCAAUCGAAGCAGUGAACUUAAGCCCCAGUAAACGGCGGCCGUAACUAUAACGGUCCUAAGGUAGCGAAAUUCCUUGUCGGGUAAGUUCCGACCCGCACGAAAGGCGUAAUGAUUUGAGCGCUGUCUCGACAAUGCAUCCGGUGAAAUUGAAGUACCAGUGAAGAUGCUGGUUACC